AAAGAAUCCGCCUGCAAUGUGGGAGACCUGGGUUCGAUCCCUGGAUUGGGAAGACCCCUGGGUGCAAGGCUCCCCACUCCAGUAUUCUGGCCUGGAGAAUUCCAAGGACUGUAUAGUUCAUGGGGUUGCAAAGAGUCGGAAACGACUGAGAGACUGAGCGACUGCGUUGAUUUACAACGUUAUGAGGACCUCAGUCUCCGCGCGCCAAGCCAGGACUCAUGGAAAACGGCAGAGGAUGUGUUAGACCACCAGAGGGCGCUCCGGCACCGCAGGAGCGAGGAAAGCCAGUCUUGCAGCGGAAGUGAAACCGAUCAAGUGUUGCCUGUAAUCAGAUGCAUCAGGGUCUUUUCCAAUGACUCAGCUCUUCGCAUCAGGGGGCCAAAGUAUUAGAACUCCGUGGUACUUGGAGCAGUCUCAAGGCAGAGGGAGAUCUCGGCAUGCAAGAGCCCGCACAGGUCUCAGAUUUGCAUAGAAAACUUGGCAAGAUCCUGUAAGUUUCUGUCCUGAAACUGCCUCCCCCAGACUCCCACCCAGGAACAGACUGAGAGCGACCCCAGGGUGAGAGCCCCCGGGGCCAGCACAGACUCUCACUCUCCAGUUCAUCUGGGAAAUGACGCAUCAUUCUGGAAACCUCCAAGGAUCCUCAUUCCAGGAGAGGAACUGGGCCUGGUGGCAGCCCCGCAGCAGCUCCUGACCCGCCGGGGUGGAUGCAGCCUGACUCAGAUGCCAAAUCCCAGAGAGAGAUGCCGGAGGACCCAUGUCUGGAGAUAAGGACCCUUGGCUCCAAGCUCUGGCCUUCCUUCCUGCUGCCUGUUUGGCAGGUCAGCAAUCACUGAUUGAU
Long non-coding RNA from Bos taurus (domestic cattle), 841 nucleotides. NCBI's taxonomy places the organism in Eukaryota, Metazoa, Chordata, Mammalia, Artiodactyla, Bovidae. The record is from Ensembl.